RNAcentral lists this long non-coding RNA (6017 nucleotides) under Marmota monax (woodchuck). The stretch from base 3288 to 3359 matches the Rfam family "tRNA". The record is from RNAcentral. Lineage: Eukaryota; Metazoa; Chordata; Mammalia; Rodentia; Sciuridae.
CGCGGGCGGUGGGGGGGGGGCGGGAUCUGGCCCCUCGGGGCUGCUUCCCGGAAACGUGGGGCGCCGCCGCUGGCAACUGUGCGGCUGCUUCGGGGGCUUGCUGCGGCCCCGCUAUGCAACGCGCAGGCGGGCCCCAGUACCCGGCAGCGCGGGCGGGCGGGCCCCCGGCAGGCUUGGGGCCCGGCUGGCAGUCAGGGUGGGGUCGGGACAGCGUGGCCUGCGGGCCCCGAUAAGGUCGCGCCGACAGGACAGCCUGCUGGUUGCGGAUGCCAAGCGCCAGGCACCUCCGCGGAACCAGGAAAUGAGCCUGCAGCAGCCAUUGGCAGGCCGUCCACCCGCGGUGACCAGAACGGCACCUUCCGCACACCGCCACUCCUAUUGUCUCGUCCGAGUCCCCGCUGGGCAGGGCUCUUGUUCCCUGCACAGCCAAAGAAAGCCAGCGCAGGCCUCUGCUCCCGUCGGGGCCUCUGGGCCAGGGAGACUGCCGUGGAUUAGCGCCAGCAGCCCCUACUCUAGGCACCUGCUCCUGCCUACUGCCUGUCCUCAGAUGGCUGGACCCCAGUUCUGUCCCUUCACUUCCGAAUCCUCAGCAUCCAGUGCAGUGGUCCGGCUGAAGGGGUUCGGGAUGUGGCUCAGUGGCAGAGUGCUUGACAGGCAUCCGUGAAGCCCUGGAUUCCAUCCCCAGCCCCGCAACAACAAAAAGGAGAUGCUGAAGGAAAGCUGGUGGGGCAGAAGACCGGAAAGUAUGUCAACUAGAGAGUGGAGACAUUAAACAAAACACAUGUAAAGGUGAAAAAUACAAUGGAUGGGAUCAAUAGGUUAGACACAAAAGAUUCCUGAACUUGAAGGCAAGGAGAAGAACUAAAUUAAACCAAAAAGAAUCUGGGAAAGAUUGAACUGCAGAAUUUUAGGACCACUUCAUGAGGACUAAUAUAUUCCCUGAAAAUGGUGAUGGCAGCUGGAAGGAAGAAAUAAUAUUUAAAGAUACAAACCCACAGGUUAAGAAGCUUUAAAAAGUAACUUCUAGAAUUCUGCUGGGUUCCAAUAGAAAUGAAAUUUUCUAUGGAACACCAAAACUAACUCUGAGGCAAGAACCAUCUGUCAUAAGCUGAGUUUGACCACCAAGUCAUAAACAGUUUUGGAUCCAGAACCGGAUUCAAUCAGGUACAUAAAUAGGUAGUCUAGACCUCUUGUCGCCCACCGCAGUCCAGUGUCACUCAGCUCAUACGAAUGGUAUGGCACCCUGCAAGAAGCAAUGGAAAGUGGGCUCAGUAUAUUGGUGAGCUGAAACCCAUUCAGCAGCUGCACUGAAAGACGGUAGUUAGGAGACUGACCCCAGUUAGCAAAGCUCCAGGGGGAGAUCCCAGCCAUUCCCUUGUGUGGAGAGAUAUGAGACUUUGUUCGUUGGUCAGGAUCCUGGAAGUGGUGAUCUGGAAGUUAGAGGAUGAAGACUUCUAAGGAAGGGGCACAUGGAUGGGAGUUGGCACCAGGAUGCAGGUCUUUGUAUUAAUGUCCAUCAGCACAUCUAAGCUCUAACAACCAAGCAAACAGAAUGGCACAGCCAAUUAGUAUCAGCCUGCCUCCGUCCUCUGCUGCUGCAGCUCUGGAAAAGUGCCCUUGGGUUCAGUCCCUAGUACUGCAAAAGGAAAACAAGAAUUUGAACAGAUUUGUAACAUACGUGUUCACAGCAGCAUUGUUCACAAUAGCCCAAGAAUGGAAGCAACUCACGUGUCCACUGAAUAAUGAAUGGAAAGACAAUGGAAUGCUAUUCAGCCUUUUAAAAUGAGGAAGUUCUCAUACAUGGAAUAACACAGAUGAACCUUGAGACAUUUUGCUAAGUGAAGCAAUCCACUCACAAAAGGAUAAAGGUUUGAUUCCACCUGUAUGAAUAUAAAGUACAAGUACUUAAAGACAGAGAAGGAAGAAUGGUGGAUGCCCAGGGCUGGGCAGGGGAGUGGGGAGUUGGUGUUUAAUGGGGACAGAGUUUCAGUGUGGGAAGGUAAAAUUUCUGGAGAUUGAUGGUGGUGAUGGUUGCAUAGUGUGGAGAUAUAUAUAUAUAUAUAUAUAUAUAUAUAUAUAUGUAUAUAUAUUUUUUUUAAGAGAGAGAGAGGAAAGAGAGAGAGAAUUUUAAUAUUUAUUUUUUAGUUAUCAGCGGAUACAACAUCUUUGUUUUGUAUGUGGUGCUGAGGAUCGAACCCAGGCCGCACGCAUGCCAGGUGAGCACGCUACCACUUGAGCCACAUCCCCAGCCCCAUGUGGAUAUAUUUAAAGCCACAGAACCAUGUACUUUGAAAUGGCAAAUGAUUCUUUUUAUCUUGUGUAGAUCUCACCAUUUCAAUGCUGUUAAAAUUUACCUUCUCUUUCCAGCUACAAAAAAAUUAAAAAAAAAUACUGCCUACGUAGGGUUAAAAUCCACAAAUGAUGUACAAUAUGUAUGAAACCAUGAAGGAGGUCAGUGAAGGCAAAGUCACCCAAGGACUUGUGCUGUGGAGCAGAUUUAAUGUUUUUUUGUUGUUGUUUGUUUUUAACAUGGACAAAUAACUUUAUUUUAUUUAUUUAUUUUUAUGUGGUGCUGAGGAUUGAACCCAGUGCCUCACACGUGCAAGGUAAGUGCUCUACCACUGAGCUACAGCCCCAGCCCGAGAUUUAAUGGUUUUAACUCCACACACUAAUAAGAAUAAUGUAUAUGUGACUUUUGAACUAGUAGAAAGAGAAGUGAAAUGAUUUUUCGAAAGUUGUUCAAUCUACAAGAAUGAAAAAAAGGAUAGAAAAAGAAGCAUGUGUAGUGGUAUGCCCCUGUAUUCCUACUGUUCAGGAGUGGAGGCAGGAGGACUACUUGAGCCCAGGAGUUCAAGACCAGCCUGGGCAACAGAGACACCCCAUCUCAAAAAAAAAAAAAAAGGAACAAUAAAAACUUAAGCUGGGGCUGGGAUUAUGGGUCAGCGGUAGAGCACUCGCCUAGCAUGUGCAAGACCCUGGGUUCGAUCCUUAGCACCACAUAUAAAUAAAAAAAUAAAAUGAAGUAUUGUGUCCAACUACAACUAAAAAACAAAUAUUAGAAAAAAAAGCUGGGCGCAGUGGCACAUACCUGUAAUCCCAGCAGCUUGGGGGGCUAAGACAGGAGGAUCAUGAGUUCAAAGCCAGCCUCAGCAAUGGUGAGGUGCAAAGCAACUUAGUGAGACCCUGUCUCUAAAUAAAAUACAAAAUAGGACUGGGGAUGUGGCUCAGUGGUCAAAUGCCCCUGAAUUCAAUCCCCAGUAACCCCUCAAAAAAUAAUAAUAAGAGCUGGAGAUGUAGCUCAGUGGCAGAGUGUUUGCCUAGCAUGCACAAGGCCCUGGAUUUGAUCCCCAGCAAUGCAAAUAAAAUAAGCUAAUAAGUUUAAUUACAUUAAAUGCAAACAAAAUACUCCAGUAAAAAGAUAAGAUACAUCUAAUAUGCUAUUAACAAAAAAUAGGUAAAUUAAGAAAAUACACAUUUUACAAUAGACUAAAGGAAAUAUAAAGUACCAACAAAGCAUACUUAGUAAAAAAAAAAAUAAGCAAUAUUAAACUAACAAAAUUACUAAAUCCUAUUGACAAACCUUGAAGAAGACACAAAUGAAUAUAGAUCACAUUCAUGUAUCUGAAGACUCAAGAUUAUAAAGUUGUCAAUUUUCCUGAAGCUGAUUCAUAGCUAUAAUGGAAUACAUUAUUAUUCCCAAUCAAAAUUUGGCUGGGUGUCAAAAUAUAUGCUUAUAAUCUCAACAAUUUGGGAGGCUAAGGCAGGAGGACUGCAAAUUCGAGGCCAGGCUCAGCAAUUUAGCAAAACCCUCAGCAACUUUAUAAGAACCUGUCUCAAAUUUUUAAAAAGGACUAGGGUAUGGCUCAGUGAUGAAACAUCCCCAGUUUCAAUCCCCAGUACUACAAAAAAAAAAAAAAAAAAAAAGCCAAUGGGUUGUUGCUAUUGGAAUGGACAAGUUAGUUUUAAAAUUUAUAGGGUCUGGGCCAAAUGUGAUAGCACAUGCCUGUAAUCCCAGAGACUCAGGAGGCUGAGGCAGGAGGAUUCCAAGUUCAGAAUCAGCCUCAGCAACUCAAUGAGGACUAAGCAACUUAAGAAAACCCUGAUUCAAAAAGGGCUGGGGAUGUGACUCAGUGGUAAAGCACUUCUAAGUUCAAUCUCCAGUACCAAAAAGGAAAAAAAAAAAAAACAUAAUCAGUCAAAAUAAGCCAAUGGCUUGGGGAAAAUAUUUGCAGCACGUCACUACAUGAAGACUAUGUGAAGAAUGCAGGGGCAGGGACUCAGUGGCUGAGGUUAGGGUUAGGGUUAGGGUUAGGGUUCUGGGCUGAGCCUUGGUGGCCGAGCCCUGGUGGCCGAGCCUGGGCUGGGCUGGGGCUUGGUGGCAGAGCGCUAACCCAGCAUGUAUAAAACACUGGGUUUGAUUCUCAGCACCAUAAAUAAAUAAAAUAAAGGUCUAUCAGCAACUAAAUUUUUUUUUAAAAAAUGCCUAUAGAUUAGUUAAAAAAAAAAAAGACAAACAUAUAAAGCAUAUAAAGAAUGGGCAAAAGCCUUGAAUAGACACUUCAUGGACAAGAUUAAAAUGGCUAAUAAAUACAUGAUAAUGUUCUCAAACUCAUUAGUAAAUAGCUAAGUGCAAAUAAGAGCCAAAGUUAUACACAUGCCAGACUGGUGAAAAUGAAAAGUCUGGCAGUAUCAAGUGUUGGCAGGGAUGUGAAGCCAAGGAGAUUAUUUUCCGGUUGGUGAACUAGAACAGUAUCCUGAAACAACAGUGAAAGAUCUUCAUAUCCUGGAGAAAUUCCAACUCCUUUGCACAGGACGUAGGUAAAACUGUUGCAGCAUUUGUAAUUACCCCAAACUCGAAACAACCCAAUGUCCAUCCAUCUACAGUAAGAGAGACCUGUGAGCCACGGGUGUGCUGCAGUGGCUUGAACAAUCUCAGCGACAUGAAUGAACCUUACAGAUCAGGAUGGCAGGAGCUGGAGGCCAAAGCUCACCUACACUCCAUUCUGUAUAAUGCAAAGGCAGGAGGGGGCUGGGGUGGGCGCAUAAUCUGUGGUGAAUGCUUUUUAGAAAAACAAGAAGGCGGACUUCCCUAAGCAAGGGCAGAGGAGGUGGUGCUGGAUGGAGAGGGCAUGGGGGGGGCCCCCCGCUGGCAUUGGGGGCUGUUCCCUGGAAGUUGCACAGAUCUAUGUGUUGGCUGUACACUUCUGUAUAAUUUUCUGUAUAUUUUAUUCCACAGGAAGUAAAGGAGGAAAGGUGUAGCCUCGGCUUGGAACAGGUCAGGGCGUGGUCAGGGAUAAAACCAGGGAUCAGUGCAAGGGCAGUUGUUGGGCAGCCUCCAGGGCCUGUAGUUUCCUGCAGAGCUCACUGAGAGUCUGAAAAGAGGGUAGACAGUACCUCUGGAAUCUCCCUCCAGCUAACAGGAGUCUGAAGAGGGAUCUCAGACACCUCCAGGGGUGCCUGCCUCCUCCCUGCCACCUGGUGCAGGGAUUAGGACAUGUAGAUGGUCACAGCCAGAGACAGGCUGUGGCCCUCCCCAUCUCCCACCUCUAGAGACACAUGGAUUUGGUUCAAGUCUCAGUUCUGCCCAUGUACCCUGUGUGACCUUGAUGUCUCCAGGGCUUCAGUCACUCUCAAAAGGCUCAUUCCUUCUGGGCCUCAGGCUGACUGACUGCCUCAAUGAGCACUGGGGCUCCGUGCCUCGUUCACUGUCCUGUCCUCCCUUGCCCCCUACUCAGAGCUACCCCACCCAGCCUGGAAUGCAGAACCUUUGGAGCUGUAGUCUGAGCCCCUACCAACAGGGGGCGCUCCCCACACCAUGACCCAGAGUUGGGAGUUGGGUGGGAACUGGAAGCAACUCAGAUCUGUGAGAGGUCUCUUCUGAUUUUGAAAAUGUUUCCAGGGCCGGGUGUAGCUCAGCGGGAAAGCAUUUGCCUAGCAUGUGAGGCCCUGGGUUCAAUCCUAGCAUUGUAAAUAACAACAGUAAAAUAAAAAAGAAUCUCUCUUUUAACAAUAAAAAU